RNA transcript from Capra hircus (goat), 5843 nucleotides. It is a transcript of the gene named KIAA1468 ortholog, with no coding region annotated. The transcript has 28 exons. NCBI's taxonomy places the organism in Eukaryota, Metazoa, Chordata, Mammalia, Artiodactyla, Bovidae. The record is from RefSeq and is a predicted model, not a curated record.
CGCCAUUUCUCGCGAGACCGGGGACCAGGAAGACGCCCGCAGAGCCGGGCUGCUGGUGCAGCUGCGGCUGAGGCAGUCGCUGCUGCUGCCGCUGCAGCCUCCUGACUUCGCCUCCGAGCCUGCGCCUGGUCUCCGGGUGAGGAGGCGGGACGUGGCAAGGCCGGGGCUGCGGAAGCGAGCGGUGCCCGCUGAGGCUGAGCGGGGACUCAGGCCGCGGCCUGUCAGAGCCAGACAGGGAGGCGCCCACACUCCUGACAGUGUAAGAUGGCGGCGAUGGCGCCUGGAGGUGGCGGCGGCGGCGUGAACCCUUUCCUCAGCGAUUCGGACGAGGACGAGGACGAGGUCUCGGCGACCGACGAGCGGCGGGCAGGACUUCGGCUGGGUGCCGGAGGCGGCCUAGACCCGGGCUCUGCGGACUCGCUGUCGCCCCAGGACCCCGUGGCCUUGGGGAGCAGUGCCCGAGCGGGGCUCCCCGGGGAGGCGGCGGCGGCGGCCCUGGGGGGCCCUGGGGAGACCCCGGCCCGCCUGUCAAUUGAUGCGAUCGCGGCCCAGCUGCUGCGCGAUCAGUACCUGCUGACCGCCUUGGAGCUGCACACCGAGCUGUUAGAGAGCGGCCGGGAGCUCCCUCGGCUGCGCGACUACUUCUCCAACCCUGGCAACUUCGAGAGGCAGAGCGGAACGCCGCCGGGGACGGGGGCGCCGGGGAUCCCCGGGGCAGCCGGCCUUGGAGGCGCAGGAGGUCGGGAGCCGAGUACAACGUCGGGUGGGGGACAGCUCAAUCGAGCUGGGAGCAUCAGUACCCUUGAUUCUUUAGACUUUGCAAGAUAUUCAGAUGAUGGUAACAGGGAAACAGAUGAGAGAGUGGCAGUCCUGGAGUUUGAACUACGGAAAGCCAAGGAGACCAUUCAGGCCCUCCGAGCCAACCUGACGGAGGCUGCAGAACAUGAAGUUCCUUUACAGGAACGAAAAAAUUACAAAUCAAGUCCUGAAAUUCAGGAGCCAAUCAAACCUCUUGAAAAGAGAGCUCUAAACUUCUUAGUCAAUGAAUUUUUAUUGAAGAAUAACUACAAACUGACAUCAAUAACAUUUUCAGAUGAAAAUGAUGAUCAGGAUUUUGAACUAUGGGAUGAUGUAGGAUUAAAUAUUCCAAAACCUCCAGACUUAUUGCAGCUCUACCGAGAUUUUGGAAAUCAUCAAGUAACUGGAAAAGACCUUGUGGACGUGGCCAGUGGUGUAGAAGAAGACGAAUUAGAAGCUCUGACGCCAGUUUUAGGCAACCUUCCUUCAACCCUUGAAACUCCUCAGACUGUAGAGAACUCCUUGCUAGUGCAGAAACUAGAAGAUAAGAUUAGUUUAUUAAAUAGUGAGAAAUGGUCUUUGACGGAGCAAAUCAGAAGGCUUGAAAGUGAAAUGGACUUCCUCAAAAGUGAGCACUUUGCCAGCCCUGUCGUUUGUGACUCUGUUCAACCUUCUUUGGAUCAGUCUCCCCACAAAGACUCUGAAGACAGUGGACAGAAUUCAGUUAUAAAUAGUUUGGACAAGAGAGAAAACAAGGAUGUCCCUCUUUCAAAACCAGAUGAAGCUGAUUCUACUGUUCCUAAAGAGAGUUUCCCGCAGUCUUUCCCCGGAAGAGAGAGAGGAGGAAUGCCGUCUUCUUCUCCAUCAAGUAAAAGCACAGUCCAUUUUGAUAAACCCAAUAGGAAGCUGUCUCCUGCUUUCCAUCAAGCACUACUCUCUUUCUGUCGAAUGUCAGCGGAUAGUCGUUUAGGAUCAGAGGUGUCUCGGAUUGCAGACAGUGAGGCGAGCGUCAUGCUGAUGCUGGGGCGCUGCCUGCCGCACAUCGUGCCUAACGUGCUGCUGGCCAAGAGGGAGGAGCUGAUCCCCCUCAUCUUGUGCACAGCCUGUCUGCACCCCGAGCCCAAGGAGAGGGACCAGCUUCUCCACAUACUCUUCAAUCUGAUCAAGAGGCCCGACGACGAGCAGAGGCAGAUGAUACUGACGGGCUGUGUGGCAUUUGCACGUCAUGUUGGACCCACACGUGUUGAAGCUGAGCUUUUACCACAGUGUUGGGAACAGAUUAAUCACAAGUACCCAGAAAGAAGAUUGCUUGUGGCAGAAUCUUGUGGAGCGCUGGCACCUUACCUUCCUAAAGAGAUCCGUAGCUCCUUGGUUCUUUCAAUGUUGCAACAAAUGUUAAUGGAAGAUAAGGCAGAUUUGGUAAGAGAAGCUGUGAUCAAAAGCCUUGGUAUCAUUAUGGGAUACAUUGAUGACCCAGACAAAUAUCAGCAGGGUUUUGAACUGUUGCUGUCAGCCUUGGGUGAUCCCUCAGAAAGAGUCGUUAGUGCCACACAUCAAGUAUUUUUACCAGCCUAUGCUGCCUGGACUACAGAACUUGGAAAUUUACAGUCUCACCUUAUACCCACAUUGCUGAACAAGAUUGAAAAACUUCUCAGGGAAGGCGAGCACGGGCUGGAUGAGCAUAAGCUCCACAUGUAUCUGUCUGCCUUGCAGUCCUUGAUCCCAUCUCUCUUUGCAUUAGUGCUACAGAACGCACCCUUCUCCAGCAAAGCCAAGCUUCAUGGUGACGUGCCACAGAUAGAAGUGACUAGGUUCCCUCGGCCUAUGUCCCCUCUUCAAGACGUGUCCACUAUUAUUGGAAGCCGUGAGCAACUGGCGGUGCUCCUGCAGCUCUAUGACUACCAGCUGGAGCACGCGGGCACAACCGGCUGGGAGAGCUUGCUGUGGGUUGUCAAUCAGCUGUUGCCACAGCUUAUAGAAAUAGUUGGCAAAAUUAACGUUACUUCAACUGCCUGUGUCCAUGAAUUCUCCAGAUUUUUCUGGCGCCUUUGCCGGACAUUUGGCAAAAUUUUUACAAACACUAAGGUAAAACCUCAGUUCCAGGAGAUUUUAAGGCUGUCUGAAGAAAAUAUUGAUUCCUCAGCAGGAAAUGGGGUCCUCACUAAAGCUACUGUCCCCAUUUAUGCAACAGGAGUCCUUACGUGUUACAUCCAGGAAGAAGACCGAAAGCUGUUGAUUGGAUUCUUAGAGGAUGUAAUGACCUUGCUUUCAUUAUCUCAUGCUCCUCUUGAUAGCCUGAAAGCUGCUUUUGUGGAACUGGGUGCGAAUCCAGCUUACCAUGAGCUACUGCUGACUGUUCUGUGGUAUGGUGUUGUCCACACGUCAGCACUCGUGAGGUGUACUGCUGCCAGGAUGUUUGAGCUCUGUCAGGAUUGCUACGAUUCCAGCCUUUGGCACGAUUAUGGAAACAGUUAUUCAAAGAGAGUUGCUGGAAAGAGUGAAAAUGCAGUUGGCUUCUUUCCUGGAAGACCCUCAAUAUCAAGACCAAUAUUCUCUGCAUACAGAGAUCAUAAAAACAUUCGGUAGAGUUGGGCCUAAUGCAGAGCCAAGGUUCCGAGAUGAGUUUGUUAUACCGCACCUGCAUAAGUUAGCCUUGGUGAACAACUUGCAGAUCGUGGACUCUAAGCGGCUGGACAUCGCCACCCACCUCUUUGAAGCCUACAGUGCACUUUCCUGCUGCUUCAUUUCAGAGGAUUUAAUGGUUAAUCACUUUUUACCUGGUCUCAGAUGUUUACGCAUCGACAUGGAACAUCUUUCUCCAGAGCACGAAGUUAUUUUGACUUCCAUGAUAAAAGAAUGUGAACAAAAAGUAGAGAACAAGACCGUCCAAGAGCCUCAAGGCUCAAUGUCAAUUGCUGCAAGCCUAGUGAGUGAAGAUGCGAAGACCAAAUUCUUGAACAAAAUGGGCCAGUUGACAACAUCGGGCGCCAUGCUGGCCAACGUGUUUCAGAGGAAGAAGUAAGAGCGGGAAGGAGGCCCCAGCGAACACUGAGAUGGACCUCAAGCAGACUGGUUCCUUGUACUUGAAGUACUUGCCUUUUUUAUUGCUCUGUUUUUUGUUCUUGCAUCAUAAUUUUAUCUUAACCUCCAAAGACACUUGCACUGCUUUUGAUUGUUGCUGUAUAUCUGUAAUUUUGGAAUUCCAACUGUGGUGAUGAAAAAGCUGAGCUGAUAGUCUGUACCAAGUCCCCCUCUAUGUUCUUGUCUUUCAGAAUAUUUUUUUUAUAUAUAAUAUAUAUAUAUAGUGAAUAGUUUUUUUUUUAAUUUUUGGAUGGGAUAUUAGCAAAUACUUGUAUGAUACACUAAGCUAUUUACAAUGGUACUUAAAAUAAUGUAAAUUUGAAGUCAUUGUUAUAAAGUAAUAAAAAUGGAGAUUACUUAAGUAUUUAAAUUAUGAAAGUAUGAUGCAGACUUUUUAUUGUUUCUUAACUGACUAGAAAGAGCCACCAGCAUUACUCCGUGCCUUUUGGACUUCAGUUUGUGUGUCUGUAGGAGUUGUGUGCAUUCCAUUCACACAGUAUUUAUAAUGCUGUAAUGAAUCUGAAUUACAAAUCCUACAGUCAGUAGAUAAUAAUGUAACUUUCAACAUUUCCGCGCUCUCAUGAAUAUUCUUUUAAGUGCUAUUUAAAUCUCCCCAUCACUUAUAUGAAUAUAAUGGGCUUACCUGAGGGAGGAGAGCACGUGUCGUGUCGCGUGGGGAGUGGUAACGAAGGUGAAUUUUACCAACUGGUGUGUAGUAGAUUUAAAUACCAAACAAAAUUUAAGUAAGAAGAGCUAAUAAUUGUGACAUUUUUUUUUUCCCAACUGGAAAUACAGAAGAAAGUAUGGCUCGGAUCUAAAAGUUAAUGCUUAUUUGCAUAAAACAUUCUAUUUAAGGUGAUAAAUUUUCUGAUGAAUUUUAAUUUCAGAGAUUAUCUUUUCAUCCUAUGUAGUACAGAGAGGUACAGAAAAGUUCAGGACGUUUGGGGCUGCUUUUUUCCCUCUAGACAAAAAAAGACAUUGGCUUCCUUACUAUUGGUCUCAGUCAUCAGCUUGUCCCUUAAAGUCAGUGGCUGUUCUUGUGUUUGACAUAUAUCGCAUAGAGUCUUAAGUCAGUGUACAGUUCCCCUGGAAUCUGGCAGUUGUCUGUCAAGUAAGGCAACUUGCAGUAGAAAAGAGGGAUCCUGGACGUGGGAGGGAGGUGGUUGGUUUAAGGGUUUAAUGUGAGGCCUUUCUGAAAAAUGCGUAUUUUGGUAAAGAGAAUUCUCUUUUGAGCACAUAUGGGUGAUUGUCAUGUUUGUUGUAUAAACUGGUUUUAAUACUCUUGGAAUAUAGUUGGAUUACAUUCAUGGGCAAAACUAGCUUACCACACAUUGAAGCUUAUAAAAAAUAAGUUGCCAUAGGCAGAGCCAUUUAAAAAGUUUAUUCUGAAAUUAUUUCUUUAACCUACAGUGAAAUAAUUGUUAGCUAGUAUAUUACGGAAACUGUUGGAUUCUAGGCAUUCCUGAGAAAUUAAAAGUGGCUUCCUUUCAUGUCAAAAAUGUUGAUCUAUUAUAAAUAAAAUGUUUUUGCAUACUUAUUUUGGUUUUGAUUUUGGCUAUGUGUAUUUAUUUUCAUUUUGAAACACUAUAUCCUCCAGCCAAGCAAAAGAGAAAUGAGAAACUGUAUAUUCACUUAAAUGUAUUUUAAUUUAGGAAUAUAAUCUCUAUAAGUUACCUCGUUUAGUUUACUUUUGUUUAAAAAGCAUUAUGUUGUAUAAAAUGAAAACAUUUCUGAGAUGAUUUAAAGAAAAAAAUGUUUGAAUUCUCAUUUGCUUUGAACUAUAGCAACACUAGUAUGUUUGUUACCUGAUGAAUAAAUAUAAUGUAUUUUUAAUGUGAUACGUUUUAUUAAUUUGUGAAUCCAUUUAUCCAAAUGCUAACAGGUUUUCAUGAAAGGCGCCAUGCAGCAAGAUAUGCAGUGUGUUUCGAGUCCCUCUUACUAUGCUAUUAAACAUCUUAAUGUCA